GAGGUAAUCGAUCGGGCUCCUAGAAGAGACCCGAAACUCAUUUAGCAGCUUUUACAAUUCUGGGUUGAGGGUUGUGGUGCUUGCUGGGUUGAAGGUUAGCAAGCAGACGACAUACAGGGACGACUGACGACAUGUUUCCUUGCUGAUUUCCUCCAAUGACAUGGCUUGAAUCGGUGGGGCGUCGAGGCCGUGCAGGUGCCACGUCUAGUUGUGCCAUUGAAAGGUCAUGGUGAGAUUCUUUAAAUCGCAUAUUACAGUGCCGAGGUCUUCCAGCCAUUAGACGCCCAAAACAACAUCCAAUCCCAUUAGUGGUAAUGAAAAGAGUGUGAAUGAAAAU
RNAcentral lists this long non-coding RNA (337 nucleotides) under Carica papaya (papaya). Its description in RNAcentral is "long non-coding RNA (CPAP_LNC000854)". The record is from RNAcentral. Lineage: Eukaryota; Viridiplantae; Streptophyta; Magnoliopsida; Brassicales; Caricaceae.